ACGAAGCUCAGGCGUCUCCAUGGGACCCACGGAAGUACAGGUCCCUACAGGAAAAGAGGACUACACAACUUGUAUUCAAAGCAUUAGUUAACAUGAUAUGAAGACAUUAAGAGAUCUAGGGAUUCAAAGUUUUCUCAAAAUUGGGCUUAAAUUGGAAGUAUAGAUUGGGCUUAAACUGGGCUGGUCAAAGUUCUGAGCUUUGCUCUCAACAUGCCACGUGGGCUUUAAUCAAUCAAUUGCAAAAAUUUAUCGAUUAGGUUUAUGUUUUAAUUAUAUUAAAACUUAUACUAACAAUAAAAAAACAUGAUUUGGCUCAAAGUUUAGUAGUUAACAACAUGAUUUGGCUCUAUUUCCAAAAUAUUUCAAAGAAAAUUAGAAGACAAAGAAACCUGGAGCUCUAUUAGUUGGACAGAGGUCUAACAUGGAGUAAACAUAUAACUGGUCCUGUAUAAUUCACUUUUCUGAUAUGAUAAUUAAUUGAAUUAUCACAUACUAUAUAAUUUUAUUUAAAUAUGCAAUAAUGAUAGAUUUAUGCUAUAUUAUUCAAAUAUUUACGCAUCUAUAUAAAUAUUGAUAAUUGUGAGAUCAACUAUAUAAAUAUUUACACAUACUAUAUAAUUUUCAUUAAAUGUUUCACUUGCAGAUAUAUGUUUACUACAAUCAGAUUGAAUACUAUGGUAUCCCACAAUUGAAUACCAUAAGCUUGUAGUAGUUGAAUUAAUUUGGAUUAAUUCUAUUUCCUGCUCCAUGUAAAAUAUUUCAAAGAAAAUUAGAAGAGAAAGAAACCUGGACCUCUAUUAGUUGGACAGAGGUCUAACAUGGAGUAAACAUAUAACUUACGAAACAGUAUAGAGUCUUUGAAAGUUACCUGAUAGCUUAUGUUGCUGCUGCUAUAAUGGUUGUUGUACGUUACGUUUAAUAACUUCGGCAAUCAUUUGAAAACAGUAUUCACUACAUUCAUGAUAUGGAUUCGAUGCAUUGAUACAGUCAGGAUGAACUCUUCUCUCUUCAUCCAUUGUCAUUGUUACUUGUUCAGCUUCUUUAUUGUAAUUAUUUUCCUAAUAAAUCAAAUCAAUUGUAAGAUUAAAACACUUGUUUGAAUCAAAAUUUUAGCUAAAUUCAAACUUAUUGAAAUCAUCAUUAUUAGAGAAAAUAAAAAAACACAGAAGUUAUCAUAAACUUCUACGCUUAUAUGGCAAUAAGAAGAUUAUUCAUAGAAAUCUAUAUACUUUAACAUCAAUUGGUUCUAGGCUAUCAAGAAAAUCCCAUACAUUAAAAUUUUCUCUAUGCAUCAAUUAGACACCUUAAACAUCAAUUGGUUCUGGGCAGACAAAACACAGAGAAUGAGAGAGGGGAGAGAGGCCACUGAACCGAAUAACUGUCCACUGGGUUCAAAGGGAUACAACUCUGAACGAAAACAAUUAAUAAACAAAAUACAACACCCUUGACACUAAAAGCCUUGUUAGAAUGCAGAUAUUUGAUGGUUAGUUAUACCUUGCAAAGAAAAUGCAUGAGCGUCAUUUUAUUGUUAGAAGCACGUGUAUCAGACAGUUUUAGAAGGGUAUCCAGUUGGAAUCCAAUAGCAGAACCUGCACAUAUGAAAAGCUAUUGAGUACCUUGUCAAAGAAGGAAUUGAAAUGACUUCUUCAUAACAUCCAGCAAUUUCUAGAUAAAUGUCACCAAUGACAACAGGAUUUUAACCAAAUUCACCAUCCUUACAAUUUAAGAGAUAUAUAACAUCAGGAAAAAAAAGAGAGAUGUUAGCAAAUAUUAGCAUAUCCUGGGAUCACUCCUUAACUUGCAUUUCGAGACAUCUGAAACAAAAGAUAUACCAGAACCCAUAGUUGUGCACUUUUGCCUCAAUUUGACAUUUAUUUUUGGGUUGGUUAACACCUUAAACAUCAAUUGGUUGUGGGCAGACAAAGCACCGUGGUGCGCUGAACAAUGGUUUCCAAUUGAGUAUCACAAUUGAUAUUCUGGCUGCUAACUUGAUAAACUAUACCGAUAAGAUAGAUGGUGGUUGGGGAUGGAGAGUGAGUUUAGGUAGUGUUGCAGUUCCUGCUGUAUGUAUAUUCCUUGGAGGUCUGUUUUUGCCUGACACACCAAAUUCUAUCAUUGAGCGAGAAAAUCCCAAAGAUGCCAAAGUAGUGCAUUGAGUAAUUUCUUACUCAAUGAGUUUUGCUCACUUCUAUUUUUAAUCCAAACAAAAAUCUAAGUUGAAGAUGUAUGAAUCUAAUUGAGUUGGAUUAUCAUAACAUCACUAAAACUCAGCACAAUGGAAGAAUUAAAAUACAAAAUUUAUUGAUUAUCAAAAAAUAUUAAAUAUUAAAUAAAAAUUACCUGAUGUAGGUGUUUGCCGGAUCUAAAUCGAUUUAGAUAGAUGAACAACCUGCCUUCCUGCCUUCUUCCAAUUUUUUGUUGGAGGUGAUAAGUUAUGCGGAUUUUUAUAGUGAUUAAGAACGAAGGUGAAUAGAAAUCCAUGACUUAAAGGUGAAUAGAAAUCCAUGACUUAAUAGAACUCAAUUAGGUUUUGGUUUUGAUGGAUGAUUUACAUGAAUCGAUUAGGUUCAGGAAAUUGAUUUCGAUACUGUUUACAUAAAUCUCAGUUUACGUUUA
This 2616-nucleotide long non-coding RNA is filed under the name Aquilegia coerulea. Its description in RNAcentral is "long non-coding RNA (ACOE_LNC002242)". Lineage: Eukaryota; Viridiplantae; Streptophyta; Magnoliopsida; Ranunculales; Ranunculaceae. The record is from RNAcentral.